RNAcentral lists this unclassified non-coding RNA (1861 nucleotides) under Hevea brasiliensis (rubber tree). Lineage: Eukaryota; Viridiplantae; Streptophyta; Magnoliopsida; Malpighiales; Euphorbiaceae. The record is from RNAcentral.
CUCACAUAGACAGGGCCACCGCUGAUAGCCCUGGCAGAUGCAUGAUAUUCAGCAGCUGAAUGGAGGGAAUGGAACAUAUCCCAAUCAGGCUGCAUGAUUUCUCCUAGAAAAACACUGUUAUAUGCCACUGCUGCUAUAUGGAUUGUGUGUGAAACUGGAUCCCGUGGGAAGAAAUCAUCUGAUGCUCUCACCACCGCCGUUUGUUUCGAGCAAUAUAAUGCAUCAGUAUUAUGACUCAUGCAAGCAAUGCAGCCAUUAUCAGGGAAGUUCCUGGCCACAGACGCAUCAAGAGCCUGAUGAUACUGCCUAGUCAACUCUACCCUUCCUCCCAAACCACCACCCAGCGUCUCCAAUAUGCACUGCACGUCCACCUUAACCCCAUCUAUACCCGCAGAAGCCAGAUAACUAUGCAAUUUAUCGUAGAAUUUGUACACGCUCUUAGGAUCCAUCAGCCCCAAUCCCUGCACCUUCAUUAUAUCAGUGUUCCAUGUUGGAUCAUUUUCCAACACUCCCUUUGAAAUCAUCGGAUACUUCAUCAACGACCCGUAUUCCUCCAUUUCCUUCACUCCCGGCCGAACCCCACCCCAGUAUCCGGUAAUAGCGUGCCAUACAUACACGUAUUUCAACCCGUGCUUCUGUUUCGCGAUGUUUACGAUAUUCUUUAUCCCUAACAUUGGUUCAUCUUUCUUUUGGAAUUUCGAAUUUUCUUUGAUUCCAGUCAACCUAAGCAACUGCUGCUGUUUGUUCUCGUCGGUUUCCUCCUGUGGGUCGCCACCAACUGAUUGCCAUCCAUCGUCGAUGAUCACGAAUUUUGGAGGUGUCCCACCGGCGGCUAAACUAUCGAGCCCAGCCUCCACUCCUUCUUGAGUCACUUCAUGGUAAAAUGCAUCCCAGGUGCACCAUCCGAAAUAGUCUACGAUCCCAGGCAAUUUUUUCUCGUGCCGUUGACGGAAAGUUUUUAAAUGUAACUUAACUGAUCUUAUUGCAUCUGCAAUCGUACCAAACGGAUCUGUACCGGCGUGAAUGAACAAAGAGUUCGAAAACAACGACGCUUUGGUUUCAGGGUCGCCGCUUUCCAAACAGAGCUCGAGCUCGUCGUUCAUGUUUCCCUGCAAAGAAGCUCUAAAAGAUCCUUCAAUCAAAGGAAGGAAAACUGUGUAAAUUAUCUGAUUCUCUUCGUUUCCGUAGUCGGAUUCGAGUUGGGAACCAUCCUUAGUCUCGACUAGCAAAAAUUGCGUCUCCAGAGGAAUGUCCCUCCCGUGAUCUCCCAUUUUCUGGGCCAUCCAGUAAAGCUUGAACCGGAAGCAGGCCAUGAACCGGACUUCCCGUAAAGUGCCCAAAGGCACCACUUGGCGACUGUUUUCUUCAUUGAAAACAGCUCCCAGAAAGACCCCUUCGACGGAACCGGAGGAGGCACCGGAUGUUGGUAUCACAUUGUCCGGUACUCCACUCACGAUCGUACGAUCUUUCACAAUUAGCUUCCGGUCCUGGAUCCGAACCACCGGUUUGAUCGUCAUCGUGGGUGCUUCUCUUAAUACCGAUUACCCAAGAAACAAACCAAAAGAAUCAGCAACUAAAAUUUUCUGGGAAACCAAACAGGUAUAGGUAUAGAUGGAAAACAGAGAGCCGGUUACUGGUUGCUCUUGAGAUGUGAAGAGAACAGACAGCAGAGAGAACCCAAUGGAUGAUUGGAUUGCAGGUAAAUGGUUGAUAUUUAUAGGGGGAAUUCAAAAAGGAUUGAUACUGUAACAAGAAAUUGAAAUCAUUCUUGCGUAUCUCUGCAACCUGGUGUUCUUCUCGACUUCAUUCGCGCAGCUUAUCCAUUGCCAGCAGCAAAGAAAGGAUUUUUAUUGGCCAGACA